ACCCGGAUGUGACUGGUCGGUUGCUGU
Molecule: non-coding RNA, 27 nt
Filed under: Homo sapiens (human)
Lineage: Eukaryota; Metazoa; Chordata; Mammalia; Primates; Hominidae
Source: RNAcentral